Molecule: ribosomal RNA, 460 nt
Filed under: uncultured bacterium
Lineage: Bacteria
Description: partial 16S ribosomal RNA
Rfam family: Bacterial small subunit ribosomal RNA
Source: RNAcentral
CCUACGGGUGGCAGCAGUGAGGAAUAUUGGUCAAUGGACGAGAGUCUGAACCAGCCAAGUAGCGUGAAGGAUGACUGCCCUAUGGGUUGUAAACUUCUUUUAUAUGGGAAUAAAAUGUUCCACGUGUGGGAUUUUGUAUGUACCAUAUGAAUAAGGAUCGGCUAACUCCGUGCCAGCAGCCGCGGUAAUACGGAGGAUCCGAGCGUUAUCCGGAUUUAUUGGGUUUAAAGGGAGCGUAGGUGGAUUGUUAAGUCAGUUGUGAAAGUUUGCGGCUCAACCGUAAAAUUGCAGUUGGAACUGGCAGUCUUGAGUACAGUAGAGGUGGGCGGAAUUCGUGGUGUAGCGGUGAAAUGCUUAGAUAUCACGAAGAACUCCGAUUGCGAAGGCAGUUCACUGGACUGCAACUGACACUGAGGCUCGAAAGUGUGGGUAUCAAACAGGAUUAGAUACCCUUGUAGUC